Molecule: ribosomal RNA, 479 nt
Filed under: uncultured bacterium
Lineage: Bacteria
Description: partial 16S ribosomal RNA
Rfam family: Bacterial small subunit ribosomal RNA
Source: RNAcentral
ACGAACGCUGGCGGCGUGCUUAACCCAUGCAAGUUGAACGAGAAUUUUUCGAGUGAUUUCUUCGGAAUGAUCAUGAAAAAGGAAAGUAGCGAACGGGCGAGUAACACGUGAGAAACCUGCCUUUCACAAAGGGAUAGCCUCGGGAAACCGGGAUUAAUACCUUAUGAAACCAAACACUCGCAUGAUAGAUUGGUUAAAGAUUUAUCGGUGUUAGAUGGUCUCGCGUCUGAUUAGCUAGUUGGUGGGAUAAAAGCCUACCAAGGCAACGAUCAGUAGCCGGAUUGAGAGGUUGAACGGCCACACUGGAACUGAGACACGGUCCAGACUCCUACGGGAGGCAGCAGUGGGGAAUUUUGCACAAUGGAGGAAACUCUGAUGCAGCGACGCCGCGUGAGUGAUGAAGGUCUUCGGAUUGUAAAACUCUGUCCUUAGUGAAGAUAAUGACAGUAACUAAGAAGCAAGCCCUGGCUAAAUACGUG